RNAcentral lists this ribosomal RNA (380 nucleotides) under uncultured bacterium. RNAcentral describes it as "bacterial SSU rRNA". It matches the Rfam family "Bacterial small subunit ribosomal RNA", at positions 30 to 410 of the family's 1533-position model. The record is from RNAcentral.
AUUGAACGCUGGCGGCAUGCCUUACACAUGCAAGUCGAACGGCAGCACGGGAGCAAUCCUGGUGGCGAGUGGCGAACGGGUGAGUAAUAUAUCGGAACGUGCCCAGUCGUGGGGAUAACGUAGCGAAAGCUACGCUAAUACCGCAUACGAUCUAUGGAUGAAAGCGGGGGAUCGCAAGACCUCGCGCGAUUGGAGCGGCCGAUAUCAGAUUAGGUAGUUGGUGAGGUAAAGGGCUCACCAAGCCGACGAUCUGUAGCUGGUCUGAGAGGACGACCAGCCACACUGGGACUGAGACACGGCCCAGACUCCUACGGGAGGCAGCAGUGGGGAAUUUUGGACAAUGGGCGCAAGCCUGAUCCAGCAAUGCCGCGUGCAGGAUG